RNAcentral lists this transfer-messenger RNA (316 nucleotides) under Magnetospirillum sp. UT-4. RNAcentral describes it as "Alphaproteobacteria transfer-messenger RNA". It matches the Rfam family "Alphaproteobacteria transfer-messenger RNA". From Rfam's summary of the family: Bacterial tmRNA, also known as 10Sa RNA or SsrA, is named for its dual tRNA and mRNA-like properties. The record is from Rfam by way of RNAcentral. Lineage: Bacteria; Pseudomonadati; Pseudomonadota; Alphaproteobacteria; Rhodospirillales; Rhodospirillaceae.
GCACUGGCGAUUCCCUUGCGGGUGCAUUAUAUUGAUCGCGCCGGGUAGCACCCGGCUAUGGCGCUAAACGCUAUGUGGAAUAGGCCUUGCGGACCCGGGGGCGGUACCCGGCGCCUCCACCAAAUUCCGGAAUUACGGCCGGAGAAUGGGGGCGAAACAGGAUCGACGCGGGUAGUAAAGACAUGGUUUGCGCUCGGCAUGGUACCACCGUUAUCGGGCUAAACCUCACAAGUGCCAACGACAACGUUGCUCUUGCCGCUGCGGCGUAAUCCGUAAGCGCGGUCCGGGGGGCACCGGGCAACAGAAGCCCCCCACU